Molecule: ribosomal RNA, 384 nt
Filed under: uncultured bacterium
Lineage: Bacteria
Description: bacterial SSU rRNA
Rfam family: Bacterial small subunit ribosomal RNA
Source: RNAcentral
GACGAACGCUGGCGGCGUGCUUAACACAUGCAAGUCGAGCGGUAAGGCCCUUUCGGGGGUACACGAGCGGCGAACGGGUGAGUAACACGUGGGUGACCUGCCCUCAGCUCUGGGAUAAGCCCGGGAAACUGGGUCUAAUACUGGAUAUGACUCCAUGACGCAUGUUGUGGGGUGGAAAGCCUUGCGCGGCUGAGGAUGGGCCCGCGGCCUAUCAGCUUGUUGGGGGGUGAUGGCCUACCAAGGCGACGACGGGUAGCCGGCCUGAGAGGGCGACCGGCCACACUGGGACUGAGACACGGCCCAGACUCCUACGGGAGGCAGCAGUGGGGAAUCUUGCGCAAUGGGCGAAAGCCUGACGCAGCGACGCCGCGUGAGGGAUGACGG